UCUCUUGUAGCUCAGUGGUAGAGCAUCUGACUGGUGUGCGGAUGGUUAUAGGUUCGACUCCUGUUGGGCGAA
This 72-nucleotide transfer RNA is filed under the name Desmophyllum pertusum. RNAcentral describes it as "Lophelia pertusa tRNA". It matches the Rfam family "tRNA". Rfam says of the family: Transfer RNA (tRNA) molecules are approximately 80 nucleotides in length. Their secondary structure includes four short double-helical elements and three loops (D, anti-codon, and T loops). The record is from Rfam by way of RNAcentral. Lineage: Eukaryota; Metazoa; Cnidaria; Anthozoa; Scleractinia; Caryophylliidae.